AGAUGUGAGGGCAAUCUGGCUGUGACAUCUUUCACCCCAUUGAUCACCAGGGUUGAUUCUGCUGUUCUGGCUGGGUAGGCAGGUGUCUUCUUCCCUUCCUCCCUCACCACUCCUUGUGCAUCCCUCCCAAAGCUGCGCACUCAGUCAAAAAGGACGACCAUUCCUGAUAGAGGAAGACUAGCAGAUGGC
This 189-nucleotide small nuclear RNA is filed under the name Tupaia belangeri chinensis (Chinese tree shrew). Its description in RNAcentral is "Tupaia chinensis (Chinese tree shrew) 7SK RNA". It matches the Rfam family "7SK RNA", at positions 1 to 184 of the family's 331-position model. Rfam says of the family: 7SK was discovered as an abundant small nuclear RNA in the mid-70s but a possible function has only recently been suggested. Two independent studies have found that 7SK RNA binds the CDK9/cyclin T complex (known as elongation factor P-TEFb). The record is from Rfam by way of RNAcentral. Lineage: Eukaryota; Metazoa; Chordata; Mammalia; Scandentia; Tupaiidae.